AAUAGAUACCCGGGUAGUCCCAGCUGUAAACGAUGCAGACUCGGUGAUGAAUUGGCUUAUUGCUAAUUCAGUGCCGCAGGGAAGUCGUUAAGUUUGCCGCCUGGGGAGCACGGUCGCAAGACUGAAACUUAAAGGAAUUGGCGGGGGGAGCACCACAAGGGGUGAAGCCUGCGGUUCAAUUGGAGUCAACGCCGGAAAUCUUACCGGGGGCGACAGCAGAGUGAAGGUCAAGCUGAAGACUUUACCAGACAAGCUGAGAGGAGGUGCAUGGCCGUCGCCAGCUCGUGCCGUGAGGUGUCCUGUUAAGUCAGGUAACGAGCGAGAUCCCUGCCUCUAGUUGCUACCAUUAUUCUCAGGAGUAGUGGAGCUAAUUAGAGGGACCGCCGUCGCUGAGACGGAGGAAGGUGGGGGCUACGGCAGGUCAGUAUGCCCCGAAAUCCUCGGGCCACACGCGGGCUGCAAUGGUAAGGACAAUGAGUUUCGAUUCCGAAAGGAGGAGGCAAUCUCUAAACCUUACCACAGUUAUGAUUGGA
This 533-nucleotide ribosomal RNA is filed under the name uncultured bacterium. RNAcentral describes it as "bacterial SSU rRNA". It matches the Rfam family "Archaeal small subunit ribosomal RNA", at positions 728 to 1258 of the family's 1478-position model. The record is from RNAcentral.